RNAcentral lists this ribosomal RNA (196 nucleotides) under uncultured Thermotogales bacterium. Its description in RNAcentral is "partial 16S ribosomal RNA". It matches the Rfam family "Bacterial small subunit ribosomal RNA", at positions 338 to 524 of the family's 1533-position model. Lineage: Bacteria; Thermotogati; Thermotogota; Thermotogae; Thermotogales. The record is from RNAcentral.
CCUACGGGAGGCAGCAGUGCGGAAUUUUAGAUAAUGGAGGGAACUCUGAUCUAGCGACGCCGCGUGCAGGAAGAAGGUCUUCGGAUUGUAAACUGCUGUGGUAAGGGAAAAAUGCUAUGUAGAGUGGAAAGCUACAUAGAGGGAUGGUACCUUACUAGAAAGCCCCGGCUAACUACGUGCCAGCAGCCGCGGUAAU